RNAcentral lists this ribosomal RNA (822 nucleotides) under uncultured Chloroflexota bacterium. RNAcentral's name for it is "SSU rRNA". It matches the Rfam family "Bacterial small subunit ribosomal RNA", at positions 49 to 881 of the family's 1533-position model. The record is from RNAcentral. Lineage: Bacteria; Bacillati; Chloroflexota.
UAAUGCAUGCAAGUCGAACGAGAUCGCUUUCUUCGGAGAGCACAUAUCUAGUGGCAGACGGCUGAGUAACACGUAAGUAAUUUGCCCUGAAGAGGGGGAUAAUCCAGAGAAAUCUGGCCUAAUACCCCGUAAGUUUUUUUCCAGCACGCUGGAUUAAAAGAAAGGCUUCGGCCGCUUUAGGAGAAGCUUGCGGCUUAUCAGGUAGUUGGUGGGGUAAUGGCCUACCAAGCCGAAGACGAGUAACCGGUGUGAGAGCACGAUCGGUCAGAGGGGGACUGAGACACGGCCCCCACUCCUACGGGAGGCAGCAGCAGGGAAUCUUGCGCAAUGGGCGAAAGCCUGACGCAGCGACACCGCGUGAAGGAUGAAGGUCUUAGGAUUGUAAACUUCUUUUAUCAGGGAAGAGAAAGGACGGUACCUGAUGAAUAAGGUUCGGCUAACUACGUGCCAGCAGCCGCGGUAAUACGUAGGAACCGAGCGUUGUCCGAAUUUACUGGGCGUAAAGAGCGCGUAGGUGGUUUGUUAAGUCUCACGUGUAAUCUCCCGGCUCAACUGGGAGGGGUCGUGGGAUACUGGCAGGCUAGAGGUUAUCAGAGGAAAGCGGAAUUCCAGGAGUAGUGGUGAAAUGCGUAGAUACCUGGAGGAACACCAGAGGCGAAGGCGGCUUUCUGGGAUACACCUGACACUGAGGCGCGAAAGCGUGGGGAGCGAACCGGAUUAGAUACCCGGGUAGUCCACGCCCUAAACGAUGGAUACUAGAUAUUGGGGGUAUAGACCCCUCCAGUGUCGAAGCUAACGCGAUAAGUAUCCCGCCUGGGGAGU